Long non-coding RNA from Canis lupus familiaris (dog), 5849 nucleotides. RefSeq lists it as uncharacterized. The transcript is spliced from 3 exons. Lineage: Eukaryota; Metazoa; Chordata; Mammalia; Carnivora; Canidae. The record is from RefSeq and is a predicted model, not a curated record.
CUCCAGCCAGCGGUUGUUAAGGCGACGGGAGGCUAAAAAUAAGCUUCAAAGAACCUCCCUCCCGAGGCGCUCCACGUUGUUAUGACAACCGGGCCUCGGGUCCCAGGCUCCCACGCAGCGGCCGGCUUGCGGAGGGGGGAUCCCACCCCGGGCCUACGCCUGCAGGUGACUCACCGCCUCCUGCCUCAGCCUCCCUCUGCACGGGGAGCCCCGCCCCCACGAAUCCUCGGAACCCCCCAAGCCCAACCAAAGUACUUUUUGGCCCUUUUGCCAAAGAUGUAAAAAACGCAGAGAAGUAGGAGAACCGUAGAGUGGCUGCAACGGCACAGCUCGGAGGUAGCGGCGACCUGGGUCGCGCAGGCUGACAAGUGUAUCCGGGAAGCGUCGCUAACAAUUGCUCAGGGCAGAUGCUCACUGCGCGGCGGGCGCCGGCUGGGCCAUGGACACUUGGCUUUCUGGAAUCCUCGCAACAACGCCGGGAGGAGAGCUAUCCUGAACGUUCCUCGCGGCUAGAGCAGGACUCCGAGGCUCAGAGAGGGGACGUGACUGGCCCAGGGGCACACAGCUAAGUGGCACGGACAGGACAGGAUUCAAACAGGCGCGCAGAUACCUGCGCCCCUUGGGAAACCUCGAGGCCACCUGUUAUCCUGCCCACCAGCGGCCACUGUCACGGGCUGAACUGUUUCCUCUCCAAAGUCCUAUGUCGAACCCUAUUCCCCGGCACCUGAGAACGUGACUAUGUUGGGAAACAGGGCCCCUGAAGAGGUAAUUAAGGUGAGGUCACAUGGGUGGGCCCUGGUCCAGCAUGACCUUUGUCCUCAGGAGGAGAGGAGGACACGGAGGGAGGGCGCAGCAGCGGGAGAAGCCAGCCCCGGGGAAGCGGCCCCGCCCGCAGCCUCACGCAGACUUCCAGGCUCAGCCCCACAGAAGACUCGGCCCCACCUGCCCUACGGGUUCUGGCCCCCAGGGGAGACCAACCAAGUGUGAUGGAGGAAACACACACACAUGAGGGAGGCCGCAGGACCUGGCCUCUCUCAACUUUGGCAAACAUGACACACUGGCCGUGAGCCGAUCUGGCCUCAGUUUACCCGGUGGAUCCCCAUUCCUGGAAGUGGGCGCAACGGCCUUGGUUUCCUGGAGGAGUAAAUGAAGCUCACAGGCAGGUGACCUCACCAAGACCACACAGCUCGCAGGACGGUCGGGAUCCGAAUUUACUGGCAUCUAGGACCGCACAGCCCAGGCUCUGUUUCCCCAGGAGGCCCCAUUCCAGGGCUGACACUGAGCCGGGCUCCCGUCCUACCGUGUAAGCGAUGCUUCCCCUCCCUGCCUCCCUGGGAGCCAUCCGUGUUGGCAGCCCUGUGGGUUGGGGGGAGCCUGGGUCUGUACCCCCUCAAAGGGAGCCCGAAAACACAGUCCAGAGAAGGCAUGUAAGAGCACAGAACAAUCUGCUCCUGACCGCAGGCAGGCUCUAGAGAGAGGGGCCUAGACUCAGUUCCUGUCCCCAUGCACUUGACGCACACACAGGUGCACAGCCCGCACACUCCCGACAAGCACACACAGCUCUCCAAGCACUGUGCCUGGCACAGCAGUGGGGACUCCACCAGUGCUCAGUGAAGGGCCAAAUGCCCAUGUGCAAAGAGAUGUUGGAAAACUCACCACAGACACACAAAUACACCCACACACUUCUGUGCACACAGCCAUUGCACCCCGUUCCUGGCUCCCCUUCUGCCCUGGUGCAUUCUGGGCUUUGUCUCCUAUGAUCCUGAAAGCUCAGCAAGCCUCUCCUGGGUGCAGCAGGGCCACCCCAAGUCUUUGGGAGGGGGAGGCUGGCGGAGUCUUUGAGGGGUCAAUCCUGACGCUCCACGAAUUCAGCGUGGCCCUCAGACAUGUGUGCAGCAGGAGUCCCACAGGGGCUGCAGGCUUUGGACCAGUGGCUUGUGCCCAGACAGAGUAGCCGGAGGAGGCUGGCAGCCCAGAGACACACGAGCUGAGAUUUGGGGCGCUUUGAGGUAGGAGUGCAUGUGGAGAUGUGGCUCCUCCCCAUCGAGGAAGCGCCACUCCCACUGCCAAAGUCCCAAAGGAAAGUCCCAACACGGGAUGCGCAGGUGUACGUGCUGACACGGGGUGGAGCCGGCACAGGGCAGGAGACUCGCCACCAUCAGGCAGCAGCCUAUCUAUUCUACAGCAGGAGGAACACAUGAACUUUUUAAUCAAGAUAGUGACCAAAAAACGCAGGAAAUCUCUGUGUCAGCCUCCAGAGCGGUGGCUGUUCACCUUGGGGACCCUCAGAAUCACAAGGCUGAGCGCGAAUGUGGAGUUCUGGGCUCGGCUCCCAGGGACUCCCAACCUGCAGGCAUGGCCGAGGCCAGGGAUCUGCAUUUCCCAUUUCCCACAUGAUUUGCCCACAGAUGCUCCAAACAAAUCUUGGGAACAGCAUCACUGAACAGCCUUUGCAAUCCUAUCUGGUUGGGACCAGCCCUCAGCAGCCAAGAAUCACCUGCUCAAACCCCGACACAUCAACCACCCUCACCCUGGCCCCACCGAGCCCCCAUCUGGGAAUGGCACACCGGGCCCAGCAGUGUAGACGCCUGGCUCUUGUUCCUGUCUAUCUCUACCUCUUUGUGUCCCCUCUGCACCAGAUGCACUGGCUGUUCUGGAAAGAAGGGCAGAGAGGGGUUUGUCUCAACUUGGGACAGAGCAAAAGUGAGGGGGACCAGGGGCUGGCCUGGAGGGAGAACUGCUCCUCUCUGGACCCCAGGCUGGCCUUCCCAACACACAUGCUUUUCCUUGGCUUUGACACACAAACAAGGCCCUCGGUCACUUAAUUCACUUUGCUUCUCUUCAAUCCUGCAGAGAGAGUCAGGAUUUGGUGCUACUCUUUCUUCCAGGCCUCUCUUGGCUUCCCCAGUCUCUCCUCCUAACAGAUGGAGGGAGGCCAGGCCCCGGGCUUCUGCGACUGUCUGCAACCACAGGUGCUUGGUUUUAUAGCUACUUCAUUUAUGGCACAUGGAAACCUCUCCACUUGUGGUAACCACGUAGCUUCCUAAACUGAUUUCCAGCUUUCAAAAAUAAGGCAAAUAAUAGAAUAGUCUUAGGCAAACAAUAACGUGAGUGGUACAAUUGAUGAGUCUAGGGAACAGUCUUAACUCGACGUGUGUACACGGUGCACGCAGGUUAUGCACACACACCCGGCAUCAUUCUGCACAUAUGCCGUCUCAUUCAACCCACAGUCACUGAAGAGGUAGGUGUAUAAUGGUCCCCACUUCAGAGCUGGGGACAAAGAGGCACAGAGAGGUGUAGCCCCUUGCCCAAGGUCCCCAGCCCCCAAGCACACAAAUGGUCCCUGGAAGCAGGCUGCUGUGUGCAUAUGUGACAUGUCCCCAGGUGACACUGUGGUCCCAGUGACGCACCGGAUCUGGCUGGUCUGCUCUUCAAUGGCCUCCACUGCACUCUCCACAGAGCUCAGCAGCGACUGGAUCUGAUUGGCCGUCUCCUUCAGAAGAAAGCGUGUCACAAACUGGUCCACGUGGCUCCCGCCCUCGUACACCUGUGGAGGGGAGGGAAGGGAAGGGCCCAGUUGGGAAAGGGGUCAGAGAAAGGAUUUAGGUGUGGGGUCUGGCAUAGAGCUGGGUGUGCACUUGGGGUCGGUGUCUCUGCCUCACAGGAUGAAACAGGGACCCCGGCACCUCUUGCAUCUUGGACACUGUAGGGCUCCUGCACCAGGGUGGGGGCUAUGGAUUAAGAGAUGGAGGCUGGAGCCCUGGCUUCACCACAUACUAGCUCCUGACCUCUGCGACCAUGAGAGGAGUCACUCUAGUGUCUAUCUUACAAGGUCACACAGAUGACUGGAUGACAAAACGUAGAGAAAAUGCUCAAUGUGGGGUACCUAGGGGGCUCAGUCAGUGAAGCAUCUGCCUUUGGCUCAGGUCAUGAUCUGAGAUCAUGUGUCCUGAGAUCAAGUCCCGCCUCGGGCUGUUUAGUGGGGAGUCUGCUUCUCCCUCUCCCCUUGCUCCUCCCUGUUGCUCAUGCUGUGUCAAAUAAAUAAAUAAAUCUUAAAAAAAUAAAAUGCCCAACGUAGUACCUGUCAUAGCAAAUAAUGAAUUGUAACUGCUAUGAUAAAGAUGACGACAAUGAUGAUGAUAUGGAUGAUGUCACCAUCCAUGUUGAUACUAGUGAUGAUGAUGAUGACGAUUGAUGGUGAUGAGGAGGAUGGUGGGGAUGAACAUGACAACAGCAGAUGAUGAUAAUGGUUGUGGUGGUUAUGAAGGUGAUGACAAUGACUAUGAUGGUGACAAUGAAGACAAUGACACCGAUAAUUAUGGUGAUGGUGGUGAUGGCAGUGGUGAUGAUGAUAGUGGCAGUGAUGGUGAUGAAGUUGUGGUCGUGAUGAAGAUGAUGGCAGUGACGAUGAUGGUGAUGAUAGUGGCAGUGAUAGUAAGGAUAGUGAUGGUGAUGAAGAUGACAACAGUGAUGAUGGCAGUGAUGAGGACAGUGAUGUGGUGGUGAAGACGAUGCUGGUGGGGGUGGUGGUGAUAAGCAAGCUCAUUGGUGGUGAUGUUCCUGAUGUUCUUGUUGACAGGGAUGAAGUAUGACACAACCCUGUUCCCCUCCUUCCUCCAAGAAGGAUCCCUUGGGCUCCUGACCCUUCAUGAUGCAACUCAGAGAAAUGAAAGACUCAAAAGCAACCAGAGAGGUUCAACUGGCUCCUCUCCAGAGAAUGCCGGAGACUUGGUCUCAGAAGGAGGGAGUCAGUGGAGAACCUGGGAUGGACUGAGAGAGGAGAUUCAGAGGCCACGAGGAGAGAAACUGUGGGGGAAAGAAGGAGGAAGAGAGUUUCCACAGACCUCGCUCUGUGUUGUGAGAAUCUCCCCUUCUGUCAAGAGUCUGCGACAAAGACAUUUCUCAAGGCUUUAGGAUCCAGCUGAGAUUCCCUUGGCUUCGGAAGGCUUUCAGGGGCACUGAGAAGGUUCUGACUUGGCCAGGCCACACAAGGACGCAAACGGCUGAAACCGUAGUCAAUCCAGGGAUCAAUGGGCCCUGGACAAAUGAAUGGCCAACAAGAACAAGAAGCUAUGGUCUGGUAAGAAAUUUAAAUGCAAAGAGAAAGCCUGCUAAAAGCCAGCGGGCAGAAAAAUGAGUUGAAGUAAGUGUAUUAGAAGCAGCCAGACCAGUGGCUGAGGUUGCAAAGAUCCACGAGUGUAACUGCUUAGCUGAAUUCCAAAAAGACAAGUUAUUUUCAAAGGAAUGAACACGCAGCUUUCACAGAUUUCUCCUCCACCAUGAUCGAUGCCUAAGCCAAGAGACAAACUCCACAGACUCCAGAGGGAAAGGAUCCGAUCUGGGAAUUCUGUACCCAGCGGACACACGGCUCAUCUGCAUGAGGACAGGGACACACUCAGAAAUCUGCAAACCUCGGGGCACCUGGGUGGCUCACUCAGUUAAGUGUCUGCCUUUGGCUUGGGUCAUGAUCCCAGGCUCCUGCUCAGUGGGGAGCCUGCUUCUCCCUCUCCAAUAAAUAAAAUCUUAAAAAAGGAAAGAAAUCUGCAAUUCUUUGAAAUGCUCCCAGAUGAGCACCUUUUCAGCAAACAAAGCCGAGAAUUCCCCUAAAAAUCUAGGGUGGAGUCAAAGGACUCUUGGGACGCCCAGGUGGCUCAGCGGUUGAGUGUCUGCCUUUGGCUCAGGGCGUGAUCCUGGAGUCCCGGGAUCAGGUCCCAAAUCAGGCUCUCUGCGUGGAGCCUGCUUUUCCCUCUGCCUGUGUCUCUCAUAAGUAAAUAGAUUAAAUCUUAAAAAAAGAAAAAAAAAACAAUAAAACUCUUGAUUAGGGAAGUUGUGAAAAGAAGUAGCAGUGA